This 5802-nucleotide long non-coding RNA is filed under the name Carica papaya (papaya). Its description in RNAcentral is "long non-coding RNA (CPAP_LNC005949)". Lineage: Eukaryota; Viridiplantae; Streptophyta; Magnoliopsida; Brassicales; Caricaceae. The record is from RNAcentral.
GUCGCUGCCCAGCGCUCCAGUUUUCACCAUCAUCACUCACUGUUGAUAUAACAAGAAGCAGAAAAGGAUGACCACCCUUCAACCCAAAAUGCAGCAGGUAACAGUUUUAUAAAAUGUAUGCCACAGGAUCUGUUAGUUUAGUGCAUCUUAUUGUUUCAAACAUAAAAUGCAAUACAAUAGCUAAGGAAAUUUUAGAAGUAACAUUAUGUUUCCAGUCUCCUAAUCCUAACCCUGUAGCAUUUCAUGUAUCACAACUUACUUACCAGAUGAAUCUAAUUUAUUGGGUAGGCUGCAAAUUGUGUCCUUUAGCUGACACUUCUCUAAAGCCUGCAUAUGAUAUCUUGUAAGUUGUUAAGAAUGUUAUAUUUAACUUCAAACAGUAUAGAGUACUUGCUUUGUUUUUGCACUAACCUGCCAUAUUUCAUCGUCUGAGAAAAGUCCUAGAGGAUCUAAGUUAGUUCGAACACUGCCCCGGAAAAGGGUUGGCUCUUGAGGGAUGAUACUGAGUUUCAUUCUCAAAUCCUUUAAACCCAUACUGCAUAUAUCAAUUUCAUCUAUCAAAAUGUGACCACUAAGAGGUUCUACCAGGCGAAACAAGGCAGUAAUUAGUGUAGUUUUGCCACUUCCCGUUCUUCCCACAACGCCAACUCUAGUCCCUUCCUUAAACGUGCAAGUGAUUCCUUUCAGAACUAAUGGAGCAUUUGGACGAUAUCUUAUCUGACACCAAGAAGAAGAGAAAACCAUUGAGUACGAAAUGUGGAUGAAAUUAAUUAUCAAUAAUAAAAGCUAUCUCUAAAAGAUCAUUUAACUAGUCUUCAGCAUUCCAUAUACCUUCUUUCAGCAUUUGAAAGAAAAUAAAUACCCUUGUUUUGGAGGAAUUGCAUAAUUGUAUGUGAAAACUAUGUUAAUUAAGGUAUUCACCUUUAGUUCUUGCAACUCAAUCCUACCCUUGGAAGGCCAUGAAGGUGGUGGCCUUCUGUCUUCCACAACUGCUGGAGGUUCUGGUGUUAUGUGCAUGAACUGUUUGAUUCUUUCGACGGAAAUAAUGUAGUUUGACAAGUUACAAUACCAUCUAGUAAAGAAAAUUUGAGAUCCACUGAGUGCAAACGCAUAAGAGAGAGAAAGUCCCACAAGCCCUGCAGGUGAGUAGAAAAAAACAUUAAUGUUACAUUUAGUUUAGCGUUAAUUCUCUAGAAUCAGAAUAGAAUACAAUGGAUAAAAUUUUGAUUCUCUUCUCAAUUUUAUACCUAAUUCAAGCUCGCUUCAUUUACUACCUUUGACAAGUAGGAAAUGAAACUCAUCAUUCUAGAAUUUGACAGAAGAAAAGAGUUUGUUUAAUUAAGAACCACAUAUGGAAUUUGUAAUUAAAUUCUACAGUAGAUUAAUUAAGAUCUAGGGAUCGAAGGAAUACUGUAGUAGCGAGCUAGUCUUACCCGGAGGUACUAAGCCCCUAGGGAGUAGAACAAGGAGGAAAGUAACAGUACAUAGAGUCAGAUUCUGCAGUGUCUCUAUUCUCAAAACUUGCCACUCUAAGGCUGCAUUUGAAUGAAAGAAAAGCGAAGCAUCUGUGUCAACAAGCAUUAAAUAAUUUUUGAAGAAUCUCUCAACCAUGUCGAAAGCUCGGAUUGUAACCACUCCAAGUGACGUCUCAGCUGUGUAAUUCAUAACUGGAGCUUUUGUUGUUCCAUUGAUCCUCAUUAGCUCCCUUGCAGAGGCUAAAUAAUAGUCCUUUUAGCCAAAAGGAGUACCAUGAUCAGCUAUUUCCUUUUACUAGGAUGCAAUUAAACUAAAAACACGUCUAAGGGAAUACGUCUAAGGGAAGCACCUGAACAUAUUUUGUUGCUAUCAUAGCUGGAAUUGCUACAAUGAGAACUUGCCAUGUGACAGAGGCCAUAAUUCCAAUAGUUGUUACAAUCUCCAUGCCAGAAGCAGCCACAAAGAUAAUUGAGUAAGGUACAUCAAAGUCCACAACACUUAAAUCUGAUGAAGCCUACAAAUAGAAAUUGUGGAUUUUAAGUUCAAGACACUUGAAUAAUUGGCGGUUAUCAUAGAUUAGUUGUUUCUCUGAAUUAAUAAAUAAACUAUUUGAGCUUCCAAGCUGAUAGUAAUGUUCAAGAAGAGAAAUCUUACUCGGGUCAAGAUCCGCCCAACUGGGGUAGAGUCGAAGAAAAGCAUGGGAGCUUUAAAAAUUGCAUUGUUGAAGCUGGAAAAGAAAGUUUUGGAGGCUCUUAAUCCUAGAUGAGCAAUAAGAUUAGACUUGACAUAUGUGAAAAGGGCACCGAGCAUUGAAAUUGCAGAAUAAACACCAAUUAGCAUGGCGCUACUGAUUUUAGGAACUUCAAUGCCAAAAGCUAGCCAGUAAGUUGAAAGAGCCUGAAGAGCAACAAAAGCAGCUUGACCCAAUAAGCUGAAACAUAGAAGCAAUGAUCCUUUUGAUACAAUCAUAUAAUCAAUGAAGGCCUUCCAUCCACUAUCACCAGUCUCUUUUCCUUCUUCUUCUGUUAAUUGCACUCCUGGCAGACCUUUUAUUAAAAUAUCCCGGUUGCUGUUCUCUCUAACAGAGUUGCCAUCCUCUUGCUGAACAAUAUCUGUUUGUCGAUGUUCUUCUUCGCUUUCAAUUAUUACAGGAGAAUUUUUUACGGUUAUUGCAUCUUUGUGAGCAUUUACAAGCCCUUCAAAUGCAGUUCUAGCCAUCAACAGGUCUUGAUAGGUUCCUGCUUGAGUGAUUUCUCCUCCCUCCAUAACCUAUAAAAGACCAAUAUUGUUGCUUGAUUAAUUGAUGUGCAUACAGAAACGAAUUUGCAGUUGAAAUUAUAUAUUAAAACUUAAUGAUAAGAAAUUGCACGAGUGAACUAUUUAUAUAUUUGAAUAGAAUGCAUGUUAAUAUGUUGAGCUAAAUUCUUGUUACCAAAAUUCUGUCAACUUCUGUCAGAAACUCCACUUGAUGAGUCACUAGAAUGACAGUUUUCUUUUCUAGAGCAGUCAUGAUGUACUCCUGGAAUUGCAUUGAUCAACAUGAGUAAGGUGCUACAAGGAAUUUGAAACUCUUGCAUUUUAUGCUUUUGGAAGAAAUUUGGAUUUUAUUGGUCUUACCUUGAAUAGAGUGGCUGCUGUACGGGCAUCCACUGCACUGAAAGGAUCAUCAAGGAGAUAGAUAUCAGCAUCGUUAUAUAAAGCUCGAGCAAGUUGAAUCCUCUGCUUCUGUCCUCCACUCAAGUUAAGUCCUCUCUGACCUAUUUCCGUGAGAUCACCAUGGUCAAAACUGUCAAUAUCCUUUUCCAAAGCACAGGCUUUAAUUGCUCUUUCAUACUUUUCACCGUCCAUUGAUUUUCCAUACAAUAUGUUAUCACGAACUGUCCCACUUUGGAUCCAAGAAGUCUGGGAAACAUAAGCAAUGGAACCAAAUACAUUCACCUGUUUCAAGUACCAAAAGAUUGAGAUUAGUAACAUAAAGUAAUAAAACAUCAUGAAACUCCUGUUAAUUGUUUGAUUAACUUACAGUUCCUGAAACUUUAGGAAUCUCUCCGAGUAUAGCAUCCAAUAAUGAUGAUUUUCCUGCCCCAACUGAUCCGCAGACUGCAAUUUUCUGUCUCCAGUCUAUUUUUAAAUUUAUCUCUCUCAGAGUUGGAACCUUUACUUGUGGAUCCCAACUGAAGUUACCGGAUUUUAUGUUAAUGCUUGUAUCAGAUUUCUCAAGUUUGAUUCUCCUUAUUUCAUCAUUGCUUAGCUCAUCCUCAAGCAAAAAACCAUUUAUCCUAUCAAAAGAUACUUUUACUUGGAUAAGAUUAGAAAGAGCCUCGGGUAUCACUCUGAAAGGCUCUCCCAUGAUCCUCAAUGCAGCAAGAACUGAGAAGAUGGUGCUAGCAUUAAAUGGAGCACUCUUGAAGAGAACACAUCCUAAGAAGAUAAUUGCGGAUAUGACAGUUGGGGACAUCCAGUACACAACACCACCAUAAGCUCUUAUAAACUGUGCUUUAGUCAGCCACUUAAAUUCAUUAGCGCGUCGUAAUUCGAUCGACUUCUUGAAUUUUUCUUCCCAUGAUUGUAACUUAAUAAUUUUCAUACUGUUGAGGAUUUCAGAGGUUGCUCGAAGUCUUUCGUCUUGCGCUAUCAUGAGUUGGCAUUGACAGUUCUUUAAGAUCUUCGCAAAUGGCACAUUUAGGAGUCCACAGAUGAAGAUAGGGAGCAAACCAGGAACAGCACCAAGACCUACUACUCCAACAAGCACACCAAUAGAUAAGAAAAGCUGCAACGUGAAGCUCCAUAAUGAAUGGAACCACCAAAGGAAUUCUCCCAUUCGAUACGCAUCAACUGCAAUGUAGUUGACAAUCUCUCCAGUUGAGUGCCUUCUCCUCCCCAAGUUGGAAAGCUUGAGCUGCUUUUGAUACACUGCCACCAUUAAUGCAGAUCUCAUUCUCAUUCCUGACCUCCUUGAAUUGAAAAACCAAUGUCGCUGCGACAAUGACUCAACUAUUUUGCAAAGAAUUAGGCACCCCAAUAUAAAGAUACCUUCAUGUAAAUCUCCCUUAUCUCCAUUCGAACAGUUGACAAAAGCAUAGAGCAAAAGAGGAAGAACUACUACAGCAAUUGUUCUGAAGAAAGCACAUACUGCUAUCACUAUAUUCUCCUUCAAGUAAACUUUUCUUAUGGCCUGAAUGACCACGUUCCCAGUAUUGUCUGUUCUUUUGUUUCUCAAAAUUGAAUGCCACUCUCUAGCAAACUUUUGGUAAGCUACAUCAGCCACAUCUUCGCUAACUAGAGAAGGGAUAUCUUCGAGUCCUAAAGGUUUGGUGUAACCCAAAGAAAGCAAGGGAUUAAGCCAGGAAAAUGUCAAUUUGCUGAGAAAAUUAGCAUGGGAUAAUUUUGUGCUGUUGCUUGCAGUUUUUUCAACUAACAGAGGCUCAGAUAGACUACUGUUCUCCCUGAUAUGUUCAAAAGAAAAAUGACUGAAGCUUCUAAAAGCACAGAAGAGAAGCAGAAGGUUUACAGGCCAGGUUAGCAUGUCAAAAACUUGAAUGCUACGUGUUCUUAACAAAAUUUCAAUGUUGAGGGCUGUAACCAACAAAGAAAAUGACACCCACCAUAUAGAUACAAGAAUUUUGAUCCAUUUGGAUCUUUUGACUAGCAGGGAGAUUACAAUAGAGAUCCAAACUAGUCCUCUGAAAAAGUAUAUUGCCCAGGCCAAAUUAUUGAACCCUCCAUGACCAUGUAACAGCAGUUCCCAUAAACCUAUACCAGUAUAAGCAAUACCUGUAAAGACACAACAGAUUGCAGCACCGACAAAUGCCCAGUUCCUUGUAUUAUUGCUUCCGAUACUUUCAUGUUCUGUGACACAACCUACAAGCAAGAGCAGAUAGAAGAUGGAAAGGAACAGCAGGUUUGCAAUGUCUAUGAUUGUUCUUUGUGUACAAUAAGAACCCAAAUUGACUUCUCCCUCACAAAUCCAAGAGAAAACUCCUGCAUAUCCAUGAAAACCAGAUUUCAUCAGAUUCAUCCUGAUUUCUACUUUCAUCCACAUGUAUUAAAACUUUCUAGUGAAGCUUCACUUAAUGGUACGCAUGAAUGUCUGUAUAUUCUGUUUAGCCUAACAGACUGAAGAAACUGAAGUAUAUUUAAGCUUAGUUUUGUCAGAUGGUGAUUCUUACAACUUGAUUUAAAACUUGUAUUUCUCCCUUUUGUUAGGAUCAAUCACCAUUCUGGAGCUAAAGACAAAAAGAAGAAAAAGAAACAAGAAGAAGAAGAAGAAGAACAUCUUCAUGCAGAAAAGUCUUAUACUCAUGCAAUCACAUAAAUAAGAGCUUU